This 386-nucleotide long non-coding RNA is filed under the name Mytilus galloprovincialis (Mediterranean mussel). Lineage: Eukaryota; Metazoa; Mollusca; Bivalvia; Mytilida; Mytilidae. The record is from RNAcentral.
CAAUUUGAAAACAGGACCAAAAAUUAAGAAUCUAAAUACACGGUUAGAUUUGGCAUAUCAAAGAACCCCAAUAAUUCAUUUUUUGAUGAAAUCAAACAAAGUUUAAUUUUGGCCCCUUUUGGUCCCUAAUUCCUUAACUGUUUGGACCAAAACUCCCAAAAUCAAUCCCAACCUUCCUUUUGUGGUCAUAACCCUUGUGUUAAAAUUUCAUAGAUUUCUAUUUACUUAUACUAAAGUUAUUGUGCAAAAAUCAAGAAAAAUGCUUAUUUGGGCCCUUUUUGGACCCUUAUUCCUAAACUGUUGGGACCAAAACUCCCAAAAUCAAUCCCAACCUGCCUUUUAUAGUCAUAAACCUUGUGUUUAAAUUUCAUACAUUUCUAUUUACU